CAAUGGCAUGUCUUCUGUCACUGUUGAGGUUGAAGCUAAUGGGUUAAUAUUUAAACACACAUCUUCAGCUGGAGACAAGAGAACAGCUAAAAAAUUAGCUUCCAAAGAGGUUUUGAAGGCCUUGAAGGAUGCAUUUAACAUCUAGAGCAAAUUAGAUUGGUGUGCAAUAACCAUUCAAACUCUUCCUUUGUGCAUUCAAAAUUUUCAAAAUCCCCCACCUGGAAUUCUCAGUUGUCUGCUUCAUUUUUUGAUGCUUGGCCGCUCUUUUAUGAUGAUGCAUAAGCAGCAGCUAGUAUCCAUUGGUGUUCCUGUCAAAUUUUGGGGUUAUAAGAGCUACAAUUCUGCCAUAUUGUGCUGUAUUAGAUGCUGCAUAUUGUUUAAUUCAAAGUGUAAUUCGGACUUUUGUUUAAAAAAAAUUUUUUUUUCUUAAAAAAAA
Molecule: unclassified non-coding RNA, 436 nt
Filed under: Hevea brasiliensis (rubber tree)
Lineage: Eukaryota; Viridiplantae; Streptophyta; Magnoliopsida; Malpighiales; Euphorbiaceae
Source: RNAcentral